This 295-nucleotide ribosomal RNA is filed under the name Escherichia coli. RNAcentral describes it as "partial 16S ribosomal RNA". It matches the Rfam family "Bacterial small subunit ribosomal RNA", at positions 1 to 292 of the family's 1533-position model. Lineage: Bacteria; Pseudomonadati; Pseudomonadota; Gammaproteobacteria; Enterobacterales; Enterobacteriaceae. The record is from RNAcentral.
AAAUUGAAGAGUUUGAUCAUGGCUCAGAUUGAACGCUGGCGGCAGGCCUAACACAUGCAAGUCGAACGGUAACAGAAAGAAGCUUGCUUCUUUGCUGACGAGUGGCGGACGGGUGAGUAAUGUCUGGGAAACUGCCUGAUGGAGGGGGAUAACUACUGGAAACGGUAGCUAAUACCGCAUAACGUCGCAAGACCAAAGAGGGGGACCUUCGGGCCUCUUGCCAUCGGAUGUGCCCAGAUGGGAUUAGCUAGUAGGUGGGGUAACGGCUCACCUAGGCGACGAUCCCUAGCUGGUC